Molecule: ribosomal RNA, 270 nt
Filed under: uncultured archaeon
Lineage: Archaea
Description: partial 16S ribosomal RNA
Rfam family: Archaeal small subunit ribosomal RNA
Source: RNAcentral
CAGCAGCCCGAGUGGUGGUCGUUUUUAUUGGGCCUAAAGCGUCCGUAGCCGGUCUAGUAAAUCCUUGGAUAAAUCGUACAGCUUAAUUGUACGGCUCCCGGGGAGACUGCUAGACUUGGGACUGGGAGAGGUCGGAGGUACUCCAGGGGUAGGGGUGAAAUCUUGUAAUCCUUGGGGGACCACCAGUGGCGAAGGCGUCCGACUAGAACGGGUCCGACGGUAAGGGACGAAGCCCUGGGGCGCGAACCGGAUUAGAUACCCGAGUAGUCC